ACCGUAGUAAGCUCUUGAAACUGGGAGACUUGAGUGCAGGAGAGGAGAGUGGAAUUCCUAGUGUAGCGGUGAAAUGCGUAGAUAUUAGGAGGAACACCAGUUGCGAAGGCGGCUCGCUGGACUGUAACUGACGCUGAGGCACGAAAGCGUGGGGAGCAAACAGGAUUAGAUACCCUGGUAGUCCACGCUGUAAACGAUGAGUACUAGGUGUCGGGGGUUACCCCC
This 225-nucleotide ribosomal RNA is filed under the name Clostridioides difficile. RNAcentral's name for it is "partial 16S ribosomal RNA". It matches the Rfam family "Bacterial small subunit ribosomal RNA", at positions 612 to 841 of the family's 1533-position model. Lineage: Bacteria; Bacillati; Bacillota; Clostridia; Peptostreptococcales; Peptostreptococcaceae. The record is from RNAcentral.